Molecule: long non-coding RNA, 973 nt
Organism: Myotis davidii
Lineage: Eukaryota; Metazoa; Chordata; Mammalia; Chiroptera; Vespertilionidae
Exons: 3
Source: RefSeq, a predicted model, not a curated record
CACGACAUUUAAUCUGAACUCAGCUCCUGUAGUCUUACAUCAGGAGAUUCUCGGAAGAGAUUUGUGGAUUAAACAGAUUGGCGAGGCUCAAGAGAAAGGAAGAUUAGACUAUGCUAAGUUACGAGAAGCAAUCAAAGCUGGCAAAGGUGUGACUUCAGCUAUUGACCUGUGUCGUUACCAUGGAAACAAGGCCCUGGCGGCCCUGGAGAGCUUUCCUCCCUCCGAGGCCCGAUCUGCUUUAGAAAACAUUGUGUUUGCUGUGACCAGAUUUUCGUGACACCAGAUUAAAAAGACACUAUUGUUCGUUAGCUGGAAAAACAGGGAUGAGGUGAUCCAGCGAGCUUUCAUAAUGAAAUAUCUCAAUUUGCUAAUGACUUUAAAAACAUACACAUGGUUUUUUCUUCUUUUUAUCACAUUGCUAAAUGCAUACUGCCAUCUUUUUUGGAUCUCCUACAAACAAAAUUAGAAGAAAAAAAAGGUCAAGCCGUUUUCCUUUGUCACGCCAGAAGCACACUUGAGGCUGCAGUAGCAGAAAUAAUUAAUGAGAUUCGCUCCUGUGACCUCAGCAAAUGGACAGGAAAUAAGUCCUUAUUGAUUGGACCGAGCCAGGGAUGGCGCCAGGGCGGUGGCCUGUGGUUUUCCUUCUAGAGAGGACAGAGCAAGCUGGGCGCUGCAGGUGUCAAGGGACACGCUGACAGUGCCAGCCCGGGGGACUGUCGCUUCACAGACCAGAGGCCAGAGGGCAGUUCAGUGAUUAAGAAAAACUGUGCUUUGUCCUCUGGCAGUUAUGUCUCUGUGUUUACAGACCCCGUGUGAAUAUACUUUCACUUCAUGGUUUUUGUAAGAUUUGGGGAAAAUUGUUGGGGGAAAAAUGUCAAAUAGUUGAAUUAAGAGAUUAAAACGUUAUCAAAAGUUAACUUGGCUGUAGUAGGAAUUGCCUGUUUUUCUUUCUUAAAGAUCAAUUUUCUUUUUA